AGAAAUGCAGUUAGGCUGUACAUAGGUGGGCAUGAGCACUGCCCACAGACAUGCAGUUAGGCUGUACAUAGGUGGGCAUGAGCACUGUCCACAGACAUGCAGUUAGGCUGUACAUAGGUGGGCCUGAGCACUGCCAACAGACAUGCAGUUAGGCUGUACAUAGAUGGGCCUGAGCACUGCCCACAGACAUGCAGUUAGGCUGUACAUACGUGGGCCUGAGCACUGCCCACAGACAUGCAGUUAGGCUGUACAUAGGUGGGACUGAGCACUGCCCACAAACAUGCAGUUAGGCUGUACAUAGGUGGGCCUGAACCCUGCCCACAGACAUGCAGUUAGGCUGUACAUAGGUGGGCCUGAACCCUGCCCACAGACAUGCAGUUAGG
Pelobates cultripes (western spadefoot toad) is the source of this 383-nucleotide non-coding RNA. NCBI's taxonomy places the organism in Eukaryota, Metazoa, Chordata, Amphibia, Anura, Pelobatidae. The record is from the annotation of a GenBank genome assembly.